Molecule: ribosomal RNA, 494 nt
Filed under: uncultured bacterium
Lineage: Bacteria
Description: partial 16S ribosomal RNA
Rfam family: Bacterial small subunit ribosomal RNA
Source: RNAcentral
GACGAACGCUGGCGGCGCGCUUAACACAUGCAAGUCGAACGGAAAGGCCUGCUUUCCCUUGUGGAUUGCGGGUACUCGAGUGGCGAACGGGUGAGUAACACGUGAGUGAUCUGCCCCCAACUUGGGUAUAAGCCUGGGAAACUGGGUCUAAUUCCCGAUAGGACUGCAGGGUGGUGCCUGUGGUGGAAAACGAUUUUCUAGUGGUUGGGGAUGAGCUGGCGGCCUAUCAGCUUGUUGGUGGGGUAAUGGCCUACCAAGGCGGCGACGGGUAGCCGGCCUGGGAUGGUGGACGGCCGCAUUGGGACUGAGAUACGGCCCAGGCGACAACGGGAGGCAGCAGUGGGGAAUAAUGCACGAUGGGCGGAAGCCUGAUGCAGCGACGCCGCGUGGGGGAUGACGGGCUUGGGGUUGUAACCUCCUGGCGACCGCGAGGAAGCCACCUGGUUGGAAGGGUGGUGACGGUAGUGGUAGAAGAAGCACCGGCUAACUACGUG